Molecule: long non-coding RNA, 2226 nt
Filed under: Bemisia tabaci
Lineage: Eukaryota; Metazoa; Arthropoda; Insecta; Hemiptera; Aleyrodidae
Description: lncRNA ENSSSA1NGG000461
Source: RNAcentral
AUGAGAGCCACGCAGCAAUUGACACUCCCCCACCAAAGGUACCUGCGAAAACUCCUCUGCAAAAUUGGAAAUGACGGUUGCGGAAUAGGACCAACUCAAAGGGCUUUUCUGAUAGAAAAAUUUAAAUUACUCUCAGAGGAAGAUAAAGUUGUAAAUUUACAACUUGAUGAAAUUUACACAAACUCAAAGCUUGUUUAUAAAGCUGGAAAAGUUUACGGUAUUGCUGAAUAUGGUGCCAACACCUCCUCUGAUCUCACCGCUGGAACCAUCCAGGCUUUUAUGUCAUCAUCCUUACAGUCCAAAAAUAAGGAUGUCGUUGCUCUUUUUCCAGUACGAAACUUGGAUGCAGAAAUUUUGUUGGAGCUAAUACGGGCCGUUUUAAAGUUGAUGGUCGAAGUAGGAUUCUUCGUUCUAUGUGCCAUUGCUGACAACAACCAAGUCAACAAGAAAAUGUUUGACCUCUUGUGUGAUGGUGUUAUGAAGACUCAGAUACCAAAUCCAUACGAUCCGAGUAGACCUCUGUUUCUCCUGUUUGACCAGGUUCAUUUGUUGAAAAACAUACGUAAUAAUUGGCUGAAUGCUCCAAAUCAAACUUUAAAAAUACCCAACUGUACGCAAGUGCCACUUUUCGAAAAGCCUCUUCACACUUCAAACCCACUUGAAUUUGAUAAGACUAAUUGUGAUGUAUCAGACCGGCCAGUGCCUAAUGAGGUAACAUUUGUUGAGGCAAAAUUUUCAGAUGUCAAAGACCUAUACCAUGCUGAGGCCAAAUCAGUCUUGAAACUUGGCUCAAAGUUAACAAGAAAAGCUGUUUAUCCGUCUUCAGUGGAAAGACAGAACGUUUCACUGGUUAAUGCUGUCUUCAGUGACUCGACAAGGGUAGCAUUACAAACUUUGAAGAAGGACAAAGUGGCAGUGUCAGACGGAACAAUCAUGUUCAUACAAAUCUUUGGUAGAUGGUGGAAAAUCUCCAAUGUUAAAGUUGAAACCAAAGGCAAAAGAUUGAACGAUAUGUGGUGUGAGCCUGUAAGAGAUUGCAAUGACAUGAAGCUUAAAUUUUUAAGAGAUUUGUUGCUUUACGGUGAAAUUUGGGACCUUGCCAGUAGUCCCAAUAAACUUUCAGCUCAGACUCAUGCUGCCUUUUUUCACACCGUGAAGGCUACAAUUGAAUUGUGUGUGUAUGUCCUUACAGAUUUGGGCUGGGAAUUAGUCUUGCUAGGCAAACUCCAAACAGACAAUAUAGAAGGAAGGUUCGGUGGUUACCGACGAAUCUCUGGUUGUAGCUAUUUUGUCACUGUCGAACAAGUUCUGGAGGCAGAAAGAAAGUUGAAAUUACUCAGUAUAUUGAAGCUUAAGUCUUCCAAAAAUGGAGAGUUUUCACUGACCUCAUUUGCCGAAGAAUGCAAGGAAACAGCUACCAAACUUGGUGAAAAAGCCGAAGAUGUGGACAUUUUUGAAGGAGCUUUCAGCGAAAUGAGUUCAAUCACUGUCACCCUGACUGAUCGGAGAGUACUCCUUUGUUUGGCCAGCUAUGCUGCCACUAAGACCUUACAACAAUUGAGGCGCGAAGAAAUGCAAAUUUGCCAAGAGUGUAAAGAGACCUUACUAUCGAAGGAACCUUUGGAAAUCGAGCGAGCCAAAGAGACUUAUGAGUAUCUCAGUGGUUUGGAUCGUGGAGGUUUAAACCGACCCUCUGACUUCGCAUUUCAUCUUUGUAUGGAUGCAUUCAAACUGUUCCAAUCACUAAUUUCUCAGAAGUACGAAGAAAAUUUUUUGAAACUGCAUGACCAACGAAAAGCCUUCACCACGCUUGGAGUGAAAUUGUGCGAGCAAUCUCUGGACGAUACGCUUUUCUCAUGCGAGACUGACUCCUGCAAUUUAACUUUAAAGAAGGUUGUCAAGAAAUUUAUGACAACCCUUGCGAAUAUCUUCUUAAAUAAUUAUACCAAGACACUGAAUGAUAUGAAUAUGACCCGCCAAAUAGCUAUAAAACUAAGCAAGCAAGAAGCCAAGCAAGAAGCCAAAAAAAAAGCAGAGGAGGCAAAGAAAGAGGCAGAAAAAGCAAAACAGAAAGAACAGAGUGCUUCGCAGAAAGCAGAAGUCGCAAAUCAAGAGGUACAGGAACCAAUGAAGGCAUCCGAAAGUAAGAGUAAGUACUCUAAGGCAAAAGUAAAGGACGUUAAUGCCAGAAAAAUUGCCAAAUUGAGCUCCAAGGGCUCUUUGUAG